Molecule: ribosomal RNA, 200 nt
Filed under: uncultured bacterium
Lineage: Bacteria
Description: partial 16S ribosomal RNA
Rfam family: Bacterial small subunit ribosomal RNA
Source: RNAcentral
AGAGUUUGAUCCUGGCUCAGAAUCAACGCUGGCGGCGUGCCUAACACAUGCAAGUCGAACGAGAAAGUGGAGCAAUCCAUGAGUAAAGUGGCGACCGGGUGAGUAACACGUGACUACCUACCUUCGAGUGGGGGAUAACUCCGGGAAACCGGGGCUAAUACCGCAUAACAUCGAGAGAUCAAAGGAGCAAUUCGCUUGAA